GCUGAAAAUAUCAGGAUGCAAAUGGCAUACCUAACAAUGUUAGGCAAAAAUCAUCUGAAUCAGGCAGAAGAGGGGUUGGAGAAACAACUCAUAAAUAGCACUUGCUGCUCUUCCAGAUGACCUGAGUUGAGUGCCUAGAAUCCAUAUCAGGCUGCUCAUAACUGCCUGUAACUCCAGCUCCAGUGGGUCUCUUCUGGCUUCCUCCAGGGUCAUUGCACUCAAAUUCACCUACCAAUACACAGGCACACAUAUACGCACAAUUAAAGAGAUAGAAAUAAUUUUUAAUUGGAAAGAAGAGAUAAAGAAGGUAAUUGUUCCUAAGGAGAAUGAUCCAUUAAGAAUAUGUAACAAUUUUAAACCCACUUACAUCAAAUUCCUGAAAUAAACACUGCUGGUUAGAUAAGUUCAAACUGGGUAGGAUUAGGUGUUGCCAGUACUCAUUCAAAUACAUUAGCCCAGGGGGGGAAUGUUUCCCAUCAAACUAAGACACACCAUAGACCAACUUGAUAAGCCAAUGAGUUUACCAAGAUCAGUUCCAGGAGCACGGGUGAAGGGUUACAGGAGCAGGGACCCCUUGAAGGCAGCUGAAUCUGCAUAGCACAUCACCGACUGGGUGCUGACUCACAAAUCUGCCAUGUGGUGAUCUUAGCACACCUGCACACGGCCAGCCAGGGCAGGGUCACUUUGCCACCAGUUGACUAAGCGUCUCUAACAUUGUGUGGGGUGGGGGAUAAACACUUGUCAGCUUAAGUGAAUAUCAUUCUAGUGUUGUGGAAUGUCCUUCUGUAUAUGUGUUGCUUUUAUUGGUUGAUGAAUAAAGCUGUUUUAGGCAAGGCUUUGCAGUGAAGCCAGGUGGGAAGUCUGAACAGAGAUAUAUAGCGUAAGCAUAGUCAUAGAGACACUAUGUAGCUGCUGAAGGAGAAAGAUGCCACUGCUGGAACCUUUCCUGUAAGCUACAGCUUCGUGAUGAUACACAGAUGAAUAGAAAUGGGUUAAUUUAAGAUAUAAGAGCUAGGUUGGAGCACACCUAAACUAUUGGCCAAACAAUGUCAUAAUUAAUAUAGUUUCUGUGUGAUUAUUGGGACCUGGGUGGCCAGGAACAAACAAGUAGUCUCCACUUAAACAUGACGCCCAACAUGGGUUGGGAUACUAAGUAGGAUAGUAUGAGCUUAUUCAUACUACUACUACUACUAAUAAUAAUAAUGAUAAUGAGUAAUAGAGUGAAUAGCUAUGAGCUAUUAUUUAUAGACAAUUUACAUUCUUGUAUAUUGAUACAAAUUCAAAUUAUAUUUGUUAUAUUGACUAUGCUCCUAUUUCUCUUUAUGGUAUUUGUGCACAUUUGCAAAGUUAUUUUAUCAUAUUGUAUGCAUUCAUGUUUCUACCUCUGCUGAAGAUAUUUUGUAUAUUCAUGCACUUUUAGGAUAUAUUUAUCAUACUGCAGUAUUCAUUUCUAUCUCUGAUCAAGAUGCUUAUAUAUUAUUUACAUUUUGAGGUCAUUGUCCUUAUUUGCUGCAUAUUUGUUUAAAGAUUGUUUAAUUUUUUAAAUAUGAAGUCUUAGUCUUUAAGCUAUAUAAGUAUUAACAAUUACAGGUCAAUAGUCAUCCAUGUUUGUCAUACUUAUAGCUAGACCAAUCAGGUUCUUUAGAUGCAUACAGAUUGUAUUCCACAUAGAGUUAAUCUUCAAACACUUCAAAGAACUAUAAUUAUGACUUUUAAAUAACUUAGGAUUCUCUUGACAUGAAACACAUUUCUCCUGGAAGCACUGAUCUAUUCCCAAGAGAAUGUUGGACACUGAAUACGCUCCACUUGGAGCUUGUUUUAUUCUUGAGAAAACUAGCCUUUGUCUCAACUGCCUCCGUCUCAACUACUAACAAAAUACACAGUGUCCAGACUAGACCAGCAGGAUAUAAGCAAAACCUUGCUGAGACAGGGUAAGAUUGUUUUUCAGACUUUCCUGCCUCUGAAAAUGGUCUGUCAGUUAGUCUAGGCCUUAGCUAAAGUUGGUUGCCCCAACAUUGCAAAUGAGACUUUGGGUGAUUGCCCAGGUAGCCAAUUGUUUCUGCAUUUUUUACACCCUUUGUUUGAUUGCACUUCCUGUUUACUCAAGUAAUAUUAUUUCCCUUCUCAGAUAUUUGAUGGGGUUGAAGACUAGAUAGUCAUAGUUACUUUCCUCUCAUGACUUAGCCAAGCCAUUUUUAAUAUAAGACUUAAACUCCUUAGGAUAGGAUAACCAUUGAAACAUUUAGCAUAUGUUUAUUGUUUGAUGUUGUUCAUGCUAAUUUUUAUGUAUAUUCUUUCCUCUUCUUUUCCCUGGUCAAUACUUGAUAUUCUUAUUGUAUAUUGUUUUAUAUUAGACUUAUAAUUCUCUUGUUUAGACAAAAGGGGGAGGUGCUGUAGAAACUCCUUCAGCCAAUAGCCCUGAAGAUACCAGCCCACUUUGGGCGUGGUCUCAUCUACUGAUGGAAAGCAUGUGUAAGCCUCUUGGUUGCUGGAUUAGGUUCCAGUUCCCAGCACAUGCAGAAGACUACAGAUUGCGACUAUCUCAGAAUAUGGAUCCUCUCAACACUGGUCCAUCAGAACAGGGUCUGUGGAUUAUUAAUUCUUGGUGUCUGUCUCUGGAGAACAAAAGAAGAAAACAAAUGAGUCAGAAAAUAAUCCAACCUCUGAGGUCGUCCUGGAAGAAGUGUAUGAUAUAGGAAAGCUGUUUGACUUCCUGGCACUCAGAGAGCUAAAGAGAACAAGAGUCACCAUUCAUAAACCUGUCCUCCAGCUAUGCCAUGCCUACUAAUAGCCCGUUUGGUAAUAGUUAUGAACUUCUCGAUGGAUUAAUCCAUUGGUGACGUCAGCACCCUCACGAGGCAGCCACCCCAACUGCACUGCCAGGUAGGGACCCAGCCCUCAGCAGACUGGUCUUUUGGGGGGUAUUUUCUGUCCAACUAUAACAAUUUCUUUAAUCAUUUGUGCAAAGUCAUUUUCCCACAUGGGAAAAUGUUUACAUGUGCUUUAGACUUAGCUGCAAAGAGUGAAAUUGGGCUCUCGAGAGGAAAUCCGAACUACUGUGCUCACUACAGUAUUCCAGGCCACAGCCAAGACGUGGAAGCAGACUAACUGCACAAACGGAACGCGGAGAUGGACGGUGGCUUAUGCACACGGUGGGAUAUAAGGCAGCAUCACAAAAGAAGGUUGACCUACUGUAGGGCGGGUGCCACGCUCAAGAGUAGCUGGAAACAUAAACUAGACUUGACGUGAAAGAAAGAGAAGAGGAGGAGGAGGAAGUGGGGGGAGGAAACAGGGGGAGGGAGACAAUGCCUAAAGUUUGGUGGGUAAGGAGGUGAGAGUAAAGAGGGUAGAUGUGGGAAGAGUUAAGGGUAAGUGCAAAUAGAACGAAAAUAUAAAAAUCUCAAAGAAUUUCUAUUUUUUUAAGUUAUCACCCCCAAAAUUAUAAGAAUGUGUGGUGAUAACUUAUUAUAGAUUAAUAUAAUUAAUAUAUUAUAAUCUUAUUUUAAUAUUUUAAAAAUGUACAGAAAAGCAUAAUACAUUAUAUAAACAUUAUACUCACAGCCAAAUAAAACCAUCAAUUAAUUAAAAACAAGCUGUUUAGUGACUUUCGGUCCAUUUGAAACCUUUAUAUUUUCUUUUUCGCGUUUACCCUCCUCUGCUGCCCCUACCCUAAGCUUCUUGUUUUCUAUUUCUCCCUCAACUCAUCACGAAUGUUGAAAAAUCAAAAACAAAUUAAUCUGACUUUUUUUUAAAAGACGUAUUUCUUUUUAUUUACCUGUAUAUUUCUGUCUCUAUCUGUCCCCAACUGAGUGUAUGUGUGUGGGGUGUGUGUGUGUGUGUGUACACCAUGUGUCUGCUGUUACCUGCAAAAGUCAGAAAAGGGCAUGGAGCUCUUGGAGCUGGAGUUAGAAAUGAGAUGCUUGGCAUAGCUGCCCAGAGCUCAGGACAUCUGGAAGAGUAGCAAGUUCUCUUAACUACUGAGGCAUCUAUCUCUCCAGUCCCUCUGCCAGAAUUCCUUGAGUAGAUCAGCACCAUUAGUUCUCUAGAAUUUUAAAACCUCUUCAUGAAAAACAUAAUUGGGCAAUCUUAGGUACAACCAUCUCCUUACAAGUAAGGAUAAUGCUGCAGGUUCAACAGGAUGAAGUCCCCACUUGAUCAUCUAAACAUCAAAGAGUAAACACAGAAUCUGGAAGCCUUGCUUUUGCUAUUCCUGAUGGUUUUCCAGAUAAGAACCAUAUCUUGCUGGCCCGUGGUGGCACGUGCCUUUAAUCCCAGCCCUUGGGAAGCAAAGGCAGAGGCAGGUGGAUCUUAGUGAGUUCGAGGCCAACCUGGUUUACAAAGUGAGUUCCAGGACAGCCAGGACUUUUUACACAGAGAAACCAUGUCUCAAAACAAACAAACAAACAAACAAACAAAAAACCCAAAACAAAACAAAAAAGAAUAGAAAAAGAAAACUAAAAGAGAAAGAAUAGAAUCUCUGUGUUUUGCUUCACUGGCUUUCUGUCUAGUUGCUUUGUUCAGAGUGGAAGGGACUUGUGUUUCCUGUGUGGCGCUGGGAUGGGCUGCUGUUACUGGCAGCUGUCAAGCUGGCCCUGCACUCCACAGUACUCUGUGUGGACUGAGAUGGAGAUGGUUGUCCAGUUAGGCAAUCUGGACUAUGACCAAUACUAGGAUUUUAUUUUCCCUCUAAUUGAAGCUUUCCCUUGAAACCACCUUGUUUCUCCUUAAUUUGACUCUUUUAGGAAAACCACUGAUGGACAAGGCUUUCACAGUAGCUUCCUCAGACAGCACGAGCAUCCUCGUUUGGGGUGAUAUGGUUCACAGUGGCUUCAGGACCACAGUGUAUGCUGGAGAGAUGUUUAUCUAAGUACUGGGGCCGGUGCUAUUGAACAAAACUCUCUAGACCAGUGGUUCUCAACCUGUGGAUAGCACCAUCCUAAAGGGGUGGCAUAUCAAAUAUCCUGCAUAUCAGAUAUCUGCAUUGCAUUUCAUAAUAGCAGCAAAAUUGCAGUUAUGAAUUAGCAAUGAAAAUAAUUUUAUGGUGUGGAGGGGAGGUAACCACAACAUAAGAAACUAUUAAAAGGUCGAAUUAAGAAGUCUGAGAACCACUGCCCUAGACUCUCAAUGCUCUGAGUUAUCCUGGGAGACCAAACCCUUUCAUCAAUCAUAAGCAAUCUGAAAUUGACUCAAAGCAAGUGCUGCGGGCAAAAUUAUUUGAGUAUACGAUGGCUUGGAUCUGGAAUGCUGUGAUGAUUAACUCAGUUGUCAACUCGAUUGGAUCAAGGAAGAACUCGGAAACAGGUCUCUUAGAAGUCUGUGGGGGUGUUUCCAGAAAGGAUUAACUGAAUGAGAAGACACUCCCCUGGAGUGGGAGGCACCACAGGAGGCCCUGCUAUAAAGAGAUCCCGUAGAAAAGCUGGCUGCUUUUCCUGCUUGCCUUUGCCUCUUGCUGGUGGAUGCAUCCACUCUGGCUGUUGUGUUGUUGCUGCUAUCUUUUUUUAUGCUGAUAUUUGAAUCCAGCUUCUUUAGUCCUCCAAUGUCCACUGAAGGCAAGCGGCUCUCCCAGAUCUCCUAGGCCAUCUGGCCUCAUGGACCAAGCAGCUCUCUGGUUCACAGUCUUUCCAGUGUGAAGACAGCCAUUGACCACCAGUUCCUGUUAUGUAUAAUGGAUAAUGAUAGUGGAUUCUGUUUGUAAUAAUAUGUCCAUUCUGUUUGCUC
Alexandromys fortis (reed vole) is the source of this 5718-nucleotide long non-coding RNA. RefSeq lists it as uncharacterized. NCBI's taxonomy places the organism in Eukaryota, Metazoa, Chordata, Mammalia, Rodentia, Cricetidae. The record is from RefSeq and is a predicted model, not a curated record. The transcript has 3 exons.